AUGGUUCGUGGGACGUCCUGCCGGUGGUGGCGAGCCGAAAGCGUGCGGCCGCCGUGGUUAGCCCACGUGCGGUUCCUGCGCGCCGUAGGCGGACCCCGAUGAAAUCCUACCGCGGUGCUCUUCAUCGAGUGUCGAGGUGGGCCGGCACGUUUACUUUGAACAAAUUAGAGUGCUUAAAGCAGGCCGGCUGCGCCUGAAUACUGUGUGCAUGGAAUAAUGGAAUAGGACCUCGGUUCUAUUUUGUUGGUUUUCGGAACCCGAGGUAAUGAUUAAUAGGGACAGGCGGGGGCAUUCGUAUUGCGACGUUAGAGGUGAAAUUCUUGGAUCGUCGCAAGACGGACCGAAGCGAAAGCAUUUGCCAAGUAUGUUUUCAUUAAUCAAGAACGAAAGUUAGAGGUUCGAAGGCGAUCAGAUACCGCCCUAGUUCUAACCAUAAACGAUGCCAGCUAGCGAUCCGCCGAAGUUCCUCCGAUGACUCGGCGGGCAGCUCCCGGGAAACCAAAGCUUUUGGGUUCCGGGGGAAGUAUGGUUGCAAGCUGAAACUUAAAGGAAUUGACGGAAGG
This 563-nucleotide ribosomal RNA is filed under the name Tettigonia caudata. Its description in RNAcentral is "SSU rRNA". It matches the Rfam family "Eukaryotic small subunit ribosomal RNA", at positions 717 to 1163 of the family's 1831-position model. Lineage: Eukaryota; Metazoa; Arthropoda; Insecta; Orthoptera; Tettigoniidae. The record is from RNAcentral.